CAGCCGCCACGGUAAUACAGAGGGUGCGAGCGUUAAUCGGAUUUACUGGGCGUAAAGCGUGCGUAGGCGGCUUCUUAAGUCGGAUGUGAAAUCCCUGAGCUUAACUUAGGAAUUGCAUUCGAUACUGGGAAGCUAGAGUAUGGGAGAGGAUGGUAGAAUUCCAGGUGUAGCGGUGAAAUGCGUAGAGAUCUGGAGGAAUACCGAUGGCGAAGUCAGCCAUCUGGCCUAAUACUGACGCUGAGGUACGAAAGCAUGGGGAGCAAACAGGAUUAGAUACCCCAGUAGUCCCUGUCUCUUAUAC
RNAcentral lists this ribosomal RNA (301 nucleotides) under uncultured bacterium. Its description in RNAcentral is "partial 16S ribosomal RNA". It matches the Rfam family "Bacterial small subunit ribosomal RNA", at positions 509 to 807 of the family's 1533-position model. The record is from RNAcentral.